CCCUCAUUCAUUCCCAUACUGUCCCCACGUCCCCUCAUUCAUUCCCAUACUGUCCCCAUGUCCCCUCAUUCACUCCCAUACUGUCCCCACGUCCCCUCAUUCAUUCCCAUACUGUCCCCACGUCCCCUCAUUCAUUCCCAUUCUGUCCCCAUAUUCCCUCAUUCAUUCCCAUACUGUCCCCAUAUCCCCUCAUUCAUUCCCGUACUGUCCCCAUAUCCCCUCAUUCACUCCCAUUCUGUCCCCAUAUCCCCUCAUUCAUCCCGCAGCUCUUUGGGUCGCCGUUCGGGUUCUGCUGCUGCUGGCGGUUCUGGCUGCUGCUCUGGGUUUCCUUAUGGGGCUGUCGGCGGCUGGAGCCGCUCGGAGGGAGCAGGGACGAGCGGCUGGGAUCAGUAUGGGGCUGGCUGGGCUGCUGGCGCUGCUGGCUCUGUCCCUGUGCUCGGUGGUGACACGGGGCAGCGCCUGGAGCUUCUCCUGGUCCUACAUCCUGGGCUGGGUCGGCGUCGUCCUCAUCAGCUCUGCAGGUACCGGGGGGUUGGGGGGUCACUGCUGCGCUGAGCUGUGACCGUCAGUGCAUUGAGCUGCUCCUGUUCUGUUGGGGGCCCCACGGCUGGGGGGGCACUGAGGGGGGGGUCCCUGUUCCAACCUCACCCCCCCCCCUCAGGGCUCUUCCAUCUCUGUGCUGCUGCAAAGGACCCGACCCCAGAGAGCUCUGAGUCGGGGGGAGGAUGAGGGGUGAUGGGACCCCCAAACUGCUCCCCCCACAGCGCCCCAUCGGAGCGGGGCUGUGCAGUCACCAUAACCCUAAACCUAACCCUAAACCUAACCCUAACACUAACACUAACCCUAACACUAACCCUAACUCCAGCCCCAAUCCUAACCCUAACCCUAAACCCCAAUCCUAACCCCAACCCUAACCCUAACCCUAACCCCAACCCUAACCCUAACCCU
RNAcentral lists this long non-coding RNA (948 nucleotides) under Coturnix japonica (Japanese quail). RNAcentral describes it as "lncRNA (ENSCJPG00005013974.1)". The record is from RNAcentral. Lineage: Eukaryota; Metazoa; Chordata; Aves; Galliformes; Phasianidae.